Pezoporus flaviventris is the source of this 1073-nucleotide long non-coding RNA. RefSeq lists it as uncharacterized. The record is from RefSeq and is a predicted model, not a curated record. NCBI's taxonomy places the organism in Eukaryota, Metazoa, Chordata, Aves, Psittaciformes, Psittacidae. The transcript has 3 exons.
AUUUGAUCUUAAAUUUGCUUAAGAAAAUCAUUCAAUCCUACCUGAAGGGAAGAACACUUAGAAGUGAAGAUUGGGAGUUUUGCUUUGGAAUUAGAGGUUUCUUUUGCUUACGAGGAGGGACUUGGGUAAAGCUACAGGAGAGAUGAUCCCAGUGCCUACUGCAGUUCUUCAGGGAAGCAUGUUUCUAACCACAAGUGGUCCCUGGAGAAAUUCCAGUAGCUGAUGAUAAUUAACAUCUUCCACUCCAGUGGCUUCACAUGCUCGCAGCUGUUGAGAAGGGGUGGCAGUGAGGCCGUGCGGGUGAGCUUCAAAGGGCUACCAGAAAAGCAGUUCUAAAAAUACAUUUGUAAAGCUAUUGUUGGUGGCUGAACUGGGGACUUUCAACGUUUCCACAGGAGCCUAUGUUACUUGCCUUAGCUUCAUAGAGAAUUACUGUUGAAGCAAUCUGUUUUGAAACGUAAAAACUAGGUUUUCACCUUCUGCUACUGAGGCAAAAUGCAUUAAAAGGAUAAAGGUCAAAAGGACACUGGCUCGAGUGCUGACUCCCCUCUGGGAUUAGUUCAACAUAAAAGGUGCACUUUCAGUACUGUGCAGGCAGCUUUAGUUGUGAAACUCCCCUGUACACUAAUAGAAGCCACGUGGCUGAAACACCAUAUACCGAAAGUAAUGAUUUGUAAAAAUAGCUUUUCAUUACAGCUGAAAGUCAGAAAAUGAUGUGUUAAUAUAGUUCCAUUAGCUGAGUGUUACUGCCAAAAUGAGCAAGUAAGUGACAGCUCUUGGUUUCUCCUGCGCUUCUAUCUGGUAUUUUAAUAUUGUAAAAUGUUACUUCUCUGGGAUCCUCCUCUUCGUACUCUCCCCCAUUAGGUUGGUUUUCAACAGCACAGAGCUUGAAAAGUAGAAUUCAGCAGAUCAUUCAGAAUACUACUAUACUUUUUAUGUCACAAACCAAGAGCGCCAUCCGACUCCUGUGACAAGCUGGUACUGAUACAGAACAGAAGAGAGACUUGGGGUUCCAGGCUGGAGCAAGAUGAGUGGUGUCAACUGCAUGUAAGGUAGGCAUGCGAAAAUGCCAG